AUUGAACGCUGGCGGCAUGCCUUACACAUGCAAGUCGAACGGCAGCACGGGUGCUUGCACCUGGUGGCGAGUGGCGAACGGGUGAGUAAUACAUCGGAACGUACCUUAUCGUGGGGGAUAACGCAGCGAAAGCUGUGCUAAUACCGCAUACGCCCUGAGGGGGAAAGCGGGGGAUCGCAAGACCUCGCGCGAUUAGAGCGGCCGAUGCCUGAUUAGCUUGUUGGUGGGGUAAAAGCCCACCAAGGCGACGAUCAGUAGCUGGUCUGAGAGGACGAUCAGCCACACUGGGACUGAGACACGGCCCAGACUCCGACGGGAGGAAGCAGUGGGGAAUUUUGGACAAUGGGGGCAACCCUGAUCCAGCAAUGCCGCGUGAGUGAAGAAGGCCUUCGGGUUGUAAAGCUCUUUUGUCAGGGAAGAAACACCGGCUCUAACACAGUCCGGGAAUGACGGUACCUGAAGAAUAAGCACCGGCUAACUACGUGCCAGCAGCCGCGGUAA
RNAcentral lists this ribosomal RNA (501 nucleotides) under uncultured bacterium. Its description in RNAcentral is "partial 16S ribosomal RNA". It matches the Rfam family "Bacterial small subunit ribosomal RNA", at positions 29 to 523 of the family's 1533-position model. The record is from RNAcentral.